This is an RNA transcript of Salvia splendens (bonfire salvia), 5555 nucleotides long. It is a transcript of the gene named B3 domain-containing protein REM20-like, with no coding region annotated. The transcript is spliced from 23 exons. NCBI's taxonomy places the organism in Eukaryota, Viridiplantae, Streptophyta, Magnoliopsida, Lamiales, Lamiaceae. The record is from RefSeq and is a predicted model, not a curated record.
AGCACAUAUAUCUCAUUAAUCUCUCAAAACAUCCUCUCCAAAGGCUUCAACAAAUUGGGAGAUCCUUCUUUUCUCGGUUCAGCAACAAUGGUUGCAAUUCAGCACAACCCCCCCCCCCCUUUGUGAAGAAGUACCACGCUAUAACGCACCCCGAGAGUCUUCAGAUUCCUCUGCAAUGGGUUAGGAGUUAUGGACGGAAUAUGCCUUAUCAAUGCUUCCUUGUGAUGCCACAUGGCAGGAAAUGGGAUGUGAGGUUGCUCAAUGUGGAAAACGGAUGCUACUUCCGUGCUGGUUGGUCUUCAUUCGCGAAUGCAAACAACAUCAACACUGAGGAUACCCUCAUCUUCAUGCAUAUCAGAGAUGGUGUUUUCCAAGUCAUCCGAACUUGCUCAUUGACUAGCUGCCCUCCCUUGUAUGACUACGAUGGGGCAUUCUGGCCCAUACCCGAGAGCGACGUAGUGCCGGAUCUAGAUACAAGUGACGACUAUGACUCAUCUAAAGCCGACUUUGUUGCUUCUAGCGAUGAAGAGGACGACAUAUUGCCUAUAGAAUAUGCCGUGGAUGAACACCUUUCGUUCACAAUUACCUUCAAUGAAACAACAAUUACUAAAACAUUGGAGCUACCAAUCAGGUUUUGGAAAAAAUUCAUUCGUGAAGGUGAUAUGGAAAAUGAGACCUAUUUCACAGUUGGUAGAAGAACCUGGGAAAUGCGCAUAGCAAAGCGGAAUGGUAGAAUCCGGGUGAAGCGUGGUUGGAGCCACUUCAAACAAGUUAACAGACUCCAGAAAGGAAUGACUUGUUCUUUCUAUCUAGUGGACACGGAGGAGGUUCACUUCUAUGUCAUAAUUCAGCCAUAACCAACGUCGGCAAACGGGAAGAGAAGCUGUUAUUGUGAAGACACCAGGUGAGCCUAUGAAUCAUGACUGCUCUGCAACUUGUAAUCAUGCAACACUAGGGCAGAAAGUAUACAAAGAAACAUGGAAGGGGUAGAAUAAGUGCAAAAUGGGGAUAAGAGAAGAAAAAAAUAGAAAAAGAAGGAAAAAAAAGAGGAAAGAUCUGUGGAAAAAAAUAAAAGUAAAGAAAAAUUGGUGGAAAAAAAUAGCAAGAAUAAGAUGUUGGAGGAAGUGACGGGGAGCUUCGUGAUGGAGUAAUGGGAGGGAAAGACGAAGAUUUGGUGAGGCUUCAACUUGAAGCACUCUGGAAGAGAAAUCAAGACCAGAAAACGAGAAUGCAAACUUGACUAGGGAAAACCAGGACCAGCAUAAACUAGUGGGGUACCCUCGUUCAACAGAUCCAAAACGCAUGAAAAGAAGGCUACAAAAUCUUCUUUCAGGGGAAAGUCCCAAGUAGUGCAGGAUGAACUUUCCAGGCUUGGUGAAAAGUUGAUUCAUAGUUCUGAGGGUACAAGAGCUUUAGCUCGGAAACUUUGCCGUGAACUUGACGAUAAAUUCCUCCAGCAUGGUCUGAACUCAGGGAAUGGCAGAAGAAGACAUGCUAUUUAAGCUAUACAGUUCUAGAAGUGCUCAAAGCAUGGCAAGAAUAGAAGAGCUUCUCGGAGAACCAGAAUGUCAAGCGAAGGAAAGAGCGUAUCCAGAAACAGUCCUCUAUUGUUUCCAAGCUUACUAGACAACUCUGUAUUCAUGAUAAUCUGGCAGCCGCUGCAUCCACCUAUUCUAAUGCAGAAAGUCCAACCACUGCUGGCCAAUAUUCCGGGCAGGAUGGAGAUCUGCGUUUGAUGCUGCUGCCAACGGUCCAAGCCUAAUUGUUUGCCGACCUGUUCCUCCAUCAUCUGGCUCUGUUUAUAUAUUCCAAGUAGAAAGUUCAUCCGUCGCUGGCCCAUCUUCCCGGGAGGUCUGGAGAUGCUGCGUUUGAUGCUACUGCCAGCGGUCCAAACCCAUCAUAUAUGUGGAUUUUAGAUCAAAUGGUCAGUGAUCCUUUUCAAAAUGGUAAUAUAAACCCUGCCUGCCGACGAACACCCUUGCGUUUGCCACCUGCUCCUCCAUCAUCUGCCUCUGUUUAUACAUUCUAAGGUGAAAAAAUACAUAAUUCUGCAAUUUAAUUGAACUUUUCUAAUUGCUUGCUGACCUAGAGAUUGGCAAUGCAUGAAGAAAGAGGGGUGGACUUGGAUCGCCCAUAUGAGAUGGAGGACAAAGGCAUUGGAGCUAUAAUUUGCUGUACACCGGGUCGAAAGGAUUCUGAGAAUGCCCAUAUAUACCACUCAGAGCUGUUUACAUUAACAAAGAAAAUGGCCAAAGGGGAGCCUUAGAAGCUCUACUUCACUGUUCCAAUAUUUCAGCCACAUCCCUAGUACUUAAUCCCUACUAUGUCCUUCCAGAACCUCAUACUCCCUAAGGCUCAUACAACUCUUAUGGAACUCCUUGACUUGAAACCACUUCCCGUGACUGCACUUGCAAAUGGAACUUAUGAAGAAUUGUACAGAUUCACACAUUUUAACCCCAUACAGACGGAGGCUUUUGAUGUAUUGUAUCACACAGACCGAAUUGGGAGAAAAGAAGAAAAAAAAGAAGAAAAAAAGAAAAAAAAGAAAAAGAAGAAUGAAAAAAAAAAAGAUGAGACAAAUAUGUGGGAAAAAAAAUAAAAGAAAAGAAAAAAAAUGGUGGAACAAAUCUAGAAAAAGGAAAAAAAACAGAGAGCAGAAUCAAAGGAAGAUUUCCAAGAAAAUGUGAAAAAGAAAUAGCCAGAGGAGGAAGAAACGGGGAGCUUCAUGAUGGAGUAAUGGGAGGAAAACACGAAGGUUUGGUGAGGCUUCAACUUGAAGCACUUCUGGAAGAGAAAUCGAGACCUGAAAAUGAGAAUUCAAACUUGAAUAAGGAAAACAAGUACCUGCAUCAACUAGUGGAGUACCCUCGCUCAACAGAUCCGAAAUUGCAUGGAAAUUAGGCUGCCAAAUCUUCUUUCAGGACUCCAGGGUAGGAUGAACUUUUCAGGCUUGGUGAACAGAUGGUUCAUAGUUCCGAGGGUAAAAGAGCUUUAGCUCGGGUACUUUUCCAUGAACUUCACGACAAGUUCCUCCAGCAUGGUCUCAACUCAGGGAUUGGACAAAGAAGACAUUCUAUUUAAGCUAUACAGUUCUAUAAGUGCUCAAAGCAUGGCAAGAAUAGAAGAGCUUCUCCAGGAGGACCAGAAUGUCAAGUGGAGGAAAGAGUGUAUCCAGAAACAGUCCUCUAUUCUCUCCAAGCUUACUACACAACUCUGUAUUAAUGAUAAUCUGGCAGCCACUGCAGCCACCUAUUCUAAUGAAGUAGAAACUUCAACCAUUGCUGGCCCAUCUUCCCGGGAGGUCUGGAGAUGCUACGUUUGAUGCUGCUGCCAGCGGUCCAAACCCAUUAUAUGGGGAUUCUAGAUCAAAUGGCCCCAGUUGUCGGAACAGUGAUCCUUUUCAAAAUGGUGAUAUAAACACUGGCUGCCGACGAACACCCUAGCGUUUGCCACCUGCUCCUCCAUCAUCUGCAUCUGUUUAUGUAUUCUAAGGUUUAUUUGACCAUAAAACUAGAGAAAAUGGCCAAGGGGGAUGCUCAGAAGCUCUACUUCACUGUUCCAAUAUUUGAGCCACAUCCUCCCUAGUACUUUAUCCACGCAAUUUCAGAUUCAUGGAUGCAUUCAGAGUGUUUCUAUACUAUGUCCUUCCGGAACCUCAUGCUCCCCGAGGCUCAUACAGCUCAUAUGGAACUCCUUGACCUGAAACCACUUCCCGUGACUGCACUUGCAAAUGGAACUUAUGAAGAAUUGUACAGAUACAUACAUUUUAACCCCAUACAGAUGAAGGCUUUUGAUGUGCUAUAUCACACGGACCAAAAUGGGGAGAAAAGAAGAAAAAAUCAAAAAAAGAAGUAAAAAAGAAAAAGAAGAAAAAAAAGAGAGGAGACAGAUCUGGGAAAAAAAAGAAAAGAAAAGAAAAAAUUGGUGGAACUGAUCUAGAAAAAGGAAAAAUCAGAGCAGAAUUAAAGAAAGAGUUCCAAGACCAGAAUAAGGUGUUGGAGGAAGAGAUGGGGAGCUUCGUGAUGGAGUAAUGAGAGUAAAAGACGACGAUGCACUUCUGGAAUUGAAAUCAAGAUCGGAGGAUGAGAAUGACGAAUCUUCUUUCAGGGCUCCAGGGCAAGCCCCAAGUAGCAUAUUGAAUAUGCUAGACUAUGAUUGUAAUCUGGCAACACUAUGGCAGAAAGAAUAGAAAGAAACAUGGUAAGGGGUAGAAUAAGAGCAAAAUGGGGAGAAAAGUAGAAAAAAACAUAAAAAGAAAAAAAAACAGAAAAAUGAAGAAAAAAGAGAGAAGGCGGAUAUGUGAUUUUUUUUUCAUGGAACUGAUCUAGAAAAUGGAAAAACAGAGAGCAGAAUCAAAGGAAGAUUUCCAAGAAAAUGUGAAAAAAAUAGCAAGAGUAAGCUAUUGGAGGAAGAAACGGGGAGCUUCAUGAUGGAGUAAUGGGAGGAAAACACGACGGUUUGGUGAGGCUUCAACUUGAAGCACUUCUAGAAGAGAAAUCAAGACCUGAAAAUGAGAAUUCAAACUUGAAUAGGGACAACAAGUACCUGCAUCAAACUAGUGGAGUACCCUCGCUCAACAGAUCCGAAAUAGCAUGGAAAUUAGACUGCCAAAUCUUCUUUCAGGACUCCAGGGCAAGUCCCAAGUAGUGCAGGAUGAACUUUCCAGGCUUGGCGAAUAGAUGGUUCAUAGUUCCGAAGGUAAAAGAGCUUUAGCUCGGGUACUUUGCCAUGAACUUCACGACAAGUUCCUCCAGCAUGGUCUGAACUCAGGGAUUGGACAAACGAAGACAUGCUAUUUAAGCUAUACAGUUCUAUAAGUGUUCAAAGCAUGGCAAGAAUAGAAGAGCUUCUCUAGGAGGACCAUAAUGUCAGGCGGAGGAAAGAGCGUAUCCAGAAUAGUGCUCUAUUCCUUCCAAGCUUACUACACAACUCUGUAUUUAUUAUAAUCUGGCAUCCGCUGCAUCCACCUAUUCUAAUGCAGAAAGUACAUCCAUCGCUGGCCCAUCUUCCCGGGAGGUCUGGAGAUGCUGCGUUUGAUGCUACUGCCAGCGGUCCAAACCCAUCAUAUAUGUGGAUUUUAGAUCAAAUGGCCAGUGAUCCUUUUCAAAAUGGUAAUAUAAACCCUGCCUGCCGACGAACACCCUUGCGCUUGCCACCUGCUCCUCCAUCAUCUGCCUCUGUUUAUACAUUCUAAGGUAGAUGGAAUUUUGACAAAUCAAUUCUUGCAAUUUUUGAGGGAUGUUUCAUAAGUUUCUCGAGCUCGCAUCGAGCUCUAAAUCUUCUCCUUGGUUUGGUCCUUCGAGGACCAAUGAAUAUUGACAUUUUUGUGUUAAGAUGUCCGGUUUAUAUUAUACUUCUGUUAGUUGUCUUUGCAGCUGCUGAAGUUCUUGUGUAUUGUUAGAACUCUCAUGGAAAAUAUAUUAUCGUGAAGGCUAUAUAUAUGUAAUUUCUUAAUUUAUUGGAAAUAAUAGUACAAUUUUUCUGACUUGAUUCUUAUCAUUUUCUUUGUAAAGAUGUUCAUGACAUCCUUAUAUCAAUAUAUUUUUGUUUUUCUA